Molecule: long non-coding RNA, 343 nt
Organism: Syzygium oleosum
Lineage: Eukaryota; Viridiplantae; Streptophyta; Magnoliopsida; Myrtales; Myrtaceae
Exons: 4
Source: RefSeq, a predicted model, not a curated record
GUGGUGUCCACCGUACAGGAAGGCAUCAUCUACUAUUGUUCCCGGAUUGAGGAUUUUCUGUUGAAAUACCAGGGCGUUCCUCGCUUUCCAAAUCAGCCACAGUCUACCUGCGAGGCCCUCACGAGAGGAUGGUUCUGAGGCUCUGUCGCACAGGAUGAAUAGGUGUUCCGUAGUUUCUGGGGACUUUCGGCAAAUUGGGCAAAACGAGUCAGGGAUGUCGCCUUUUAGCACUACUACGUCAUCAACUGACCAUAGAUCCCCCAGUUCCUUACACAGGGCAGCCAAGCGAGCAUCAUAGACUGCCUCUUUUUCCAUCGCAACUGUUGGGAGCCAAGGAGGACUA